RNAcentral lists this ribosomal RNA (269 nucleotides) under Achromobacter xylosoxidans. RNAcentral's name for it is "partial 16S ribosomal RNA". It matches the Rfam family "Bacterial small subunit ribosomal RNA", at positions 870 to 1143 of the family's 1533-position model. The record is from RNAcentral. Lineage: Bacteria; Pseudomonadati; Pseudomonadota; Betaproteobacteria; Burkholderiales; Alcaligenaceae.
CGCCUGGGGAGUACGGUCGCAAGAUUAAAACUCAAAGGAAUUGACGGGGACCCGCACAAGCGGUGGAUGAUGUGGAUUAAUUCGAUGCAACGCGAAAAACCUUACCUACCCUUGACAUGUCUGGAAUCCUGAAGAGAUUUAGGAGUGCUCGCAAGAGAACCGGAACACAGGUGCUGCAUGGCUGUCGUCAGCUCGUGUCGUGAGAUGUUGGGUUAAGUCCCGCAACGAGCGCAACCCUUGUCAUUAGUUGCUACGAAAGGGCACUCUAA